CAAGAAGCCCGAAAGGCUGCUUAUAAACCAUCGCGAACCUAUCCAUCAGCGUUGCUUCGGCGGAGCGCUCGCGGCCUCCGCCUCACGGGCCGGGACCUAGCCCGCUUCCGGGAGGUAAGGGGCCGCCCGCCGGAGGUACGAAACUCUUCUUCAUCUUGUGGCAUCUCUGAGUAACAAGCAAAUAAGUUA
RNAcentral lists this unclassified non-coding RNA (189 nucleotides) under soil metagenome. RNAcentral describes it as "partial internal transcribed spacer 1". The record is from RNAcentral.